Molecule: long non-coding RNA, 721 nt
Organism: Diabrotica virgifera virgifera (western corn rootworm)
Lineage: Eukaryota; Metazoa; Arthropoda; Insecta; Coleoptera; Chrysomelidae
Exons: 3
Source: RefSeq, a predicted model, not a curated record
GGUCUUUUCAUCUCCGAAUAAAUAUGCUCUUAUCUGGCAGUUAGCUAUCUGGAGGAUAAAUAUUUAUUCGCCAGAUAAAAUGUACCCGUCUUUUCACGUCAAUUUAUGUUCCAGUUAGUUAUCCGGUAGAUAAGCUUAAAAGUAAGUUUGGAUUCCGAACACACCUGACUUUUAUGUUUAUUUUUAUAAUUUCAGCUUUAACUUAACCUAACAUAAUUAGAUUCAAAGUAUUUCAAAGAUGAUUUUAUCGAUUUUAUUUCCAUUUUGGAAGAAGGAAUGAAGGAAAUAAGGAAAACAUUGAUUAUGCUGAAAUAGUUUACUGGAGAGCUUGAACAAGAGGUAAAUCCAUUUUAAAUUAGAGGAAAACUGUUGAUUUGUAUGUAAAAUAGAAGACAAAGACAAGUUUAAAUAAAGACAAGCUAGCUAAUGAAACAGAUGCAGUGAUAUGACAAACACCUAGAAGAUGGAAUCCUGUGUUCUCAAAGAAAAAGCUAGUUCCAGAAAUAAGCUACCAAUAAUAAACUAGAGAAUGUAUUACAAGAAAGAACAACGCUAAUACCCAACAUAGCUCAAUUGCUUCAGAUAGAAAAAGAGGAGGAAAGGGUAGAACACAAGCGUGCCAGAGAAAAUUAAAGGGCAGAAGAGACACAAAAAUUCAUUGAUUUAUUAAAUUUAAUAAUUAAAUUAUACAAAGGACAAUUAAAUAAAGAAUAAAAAAUUA